GUUUUUAUAGUUUAAAAAAAAACAUUGGUCUUGUAAAUCAAAAUUAAAUUUAUUAUUUUAAAAACU
Molecule: transfer RNA, 66 nt
Filed under: Ampittia subvittatus
Lineage: Eukaryota; Metazoa; Arthropoda; Insecta; Lepidoptera; Hesperiidae
Description: tRNA-Thr
Source: RNAcentral